CCUACGGGGGGCAGCAGUGGGGAAUAUUGGACAAUGGGCGAAAGCCUGAUCCAGCCAUGCCGCGUGUGUGAAGAAGGCCUUCGGGUUGUAAAGCACUUUCAGUGGGGAAGAAAGCCUUGGGGCUAAUACCCUCGAGGAAGGACAUCACCCACAGAAGAAGCACCGGCUAACUCCGUGCCAGCAGCCGCGGUAAUACGGAGGGUGCGAGCGUUAAUCGGAAUUACUGGGCGUAAAGCGCGCGUAGGCGGUCUGAUAAGCCGGUUGUGAAAGCCCCGGGCUCAACCUGGGAACGGCAUCCGGAAUGGUCAGGCUAGAGUGCAGGAGAGGAAGGUCAAAUUCCCGGUGUAGCGGUGAAAUGCGUAGAGAUCGGGAGGAAUACCAGUGGCGAAGGCGGCCUUCUGGACUGACACUGACGCUGAGGUGCGAAAGCGUGGGUAGCAAACAGGAUUAGAUACCCGGGUAGUC
RNAcentral lists this ribosomal RNA (465 nucleotides) under Vreelandella stevensii. RNAcentral's name for it is "partial 16S ribosomal RNA". It matches the Rfam family "Bacterial small subunit ribosomal RNA", at positions 338 to 795 of the family's 1533-position model. The record is from RNAcentral. Lineage: Bacteria; Pseudomonadati; Pseudomonadota; Gammaproteobacteria; Oceanospirillales; Halomonadaceae.